Apis cerana (Asiatic honeybee) is the source of this 7105-nucleotide long non-coding RNA. RefSeq lists it as uncharacterized. NCBI's taxonomy places the organism in Eukaryota, Metazoa, Arthropoda, Insecta, Hymenoptera, Apidae. The record is from RefSeq and is a predicted model, not a curated record.
AGAAAUAAGCAAUUUUUGAGAAAUGAAUAGGGAAAUGGAAAUAUGUGCGGGGAAUAUCGGUAGCGUCGUCGGGGAUUUACCGUCACUCCGCUUUAAUCCAGAAAUAAUCCGAAACAAAUAUUUAUAUUAAUUAUCCUAAUUUCCGCUAACGAUGUUGUUUUGCCGAGAUCUUGAACUUUCUUCUUUUCUUUUUUUUUUUUUUUUUCUUUUUUUAAUUAUCAUUAAUCCGGAUAACGAACAUUUCUUAUCGCUAUAACCCAAUUAGAGGUCGAGUAUUAUGUAAUAAUUAGUCGACUUUUCCCCCUUUCCCGGCCCGUAUCUUUACGCAAGAACAUAAAAGAGGUGUACUUUAUCCGAUAGCGUGUGUGCAUUGAUUGGUUUGUUGACAUCGUUGUUGGGAACCCGACGUAAUCCUACGUGUCUCCUCUCACGUAGAGAUAAUGCUUUUGAUUCUUGGGCGUGAUUAAAUACGUAGCUUUAUCGUUAUAAUAAACUCGAUUAAUAGAUCGAGAGCAUUAUCGAAGCGUUUAUCCUUUUCUUUUUUUUUUUCCUAUUUAUCUCUUUUUGUCCAUCUUGAAAAAUCUGGAGAUUUCGACGUGCUUCUUCUUUCUCUUACGUUUCUUCCCUUUUUCUUUUUCUUUUUCUUUCGUUUUUCUUAUCCCCCUUUUUUCGAUUCAUUUCUUUCCCUAAGGAUAUCCUCUUUAAUAACAACGUGAAAGUGAAGUGAAAAAUCGAACGAAAGGAAACAAAGUAAAAAAAAAAAAGAAUUAAAGAGGAGAAAAAGGGAAAAAGAAUAGAACGGAGAGAGGAAGGGGGAGGGAGGAAAGGAAUCGGCGGUGAAAUUAAUUAUCAGAGUAGUCGCGAUAGUGGUUUAUCAAUUUUAAUUACCUCUGGCUUAACGAACUCUUAAUUAGAAACGGAGACUCAUAAUUAACAUCUACGAGGAGCAAUUUAUUUUUAUCGCUAGAUAACAAUUGGGCGAGUGUAAGAAUAGCUGUGAUACGGAUUUACGAGUGAACGAGCCGUUGCAAGUUUUCUAAAUAUACAUAGUUACACGAUAAAGAGUGUACACGAUAGCGAAGCGUUGACUUCGAAAGAGUAGUUUCUCCUCGUAGCUUCUUUCCGCUAUCUUCCUCCUCUUCCCCUUUCUCCUCCACCGCUCUCUUUCUCGCUCUCUAAUAUUUCCCGGCCGCAUUAGCAUUUUGAGUGGCCGGCUGACAUAAAUUUAUUCUUAGGUUUCCAUUAAGUCUGGCGGACAGUUAUCCCAAACAGUUUCCCCGGCCCUUCCGCUUCCACGUUUAUAUCACGUUCAUUUCACGUUCCGGAAAAUAAAGCCACUCCGGCGAUAUACCUGUGAAUCCUUCCCAACUGUUUCCGUUCUGAUAUACUAUCGAUUUUCUAUCGUGAUUAAAAAAUUUUUAUUGAAAUUAAAGAUUUCGGAAAAACGAGACGAGGAGUAAACAAUGAUACAAUCAAUUUUCCAAGUAUAAAUAAUUUCGAAAUGGAUCUGUUUUUCGCGUUUUCUACGUUUCACGAAUCGAUUAUCGCGCGAAUUUCCUUGACCUGUUUCCUUAACCCUUUAAAUAUCUAGCGAUUUCUUAUUAUUCGAGCAAAAACAAGAUCAAAAUAAAAUUCUCAGCUUAUCGGAGCAAGAUAAUUCAUUUUCGAUUCGUAAAGACUAAAACAUGUUAUCGUGCAUGUUUUUGCAGAUACCUACGGUUGAUAGAAACAAUCAAAUCAUCGAUAGUUAAAGAAGCGUAUUGAUGGAUAUGAAAAUAUCAGGAGUUACCGUUUGGUGGUAAGGUUAAGGGUUGAUUUGACUCGCAGAGAGCGCGUCACCUUCCUUAUCGACGGAAUUCAACUCAAUGUUUCGACGAUGCGAGAAACUUGCGCUUGUUCGCAACCAGAUGUCAGUCUCUCCUUAACCAAGUGAUACAAUGGAUAAAGAGCGGAUCGAACAAGACUUGUUGAAAUCUCUGCAAAUAAGAACCAAUCGGUGGAUGGAAAUUUCACGAUGGUUUAAGUUACGUAUCGUACAAAUGAACCUAUGUAUAAGAAUGAAUUUUACAAAGCGGCGAUACGUGAUUAAAAUGUACACACUUUUUACAGACAUCUCGAGCCAGCUACGCCAACUCAAGAAUACAUAGUGUAACCGUGAUUAAAGUACGAAGAUUAGCCAUGAAACGACCACGAAAGGACACGGGAGACAGGAGGGAAAAUCGUCAAAGAUAUUUACAUAUUUACAAAGAAAGUGAAGUAGAGUGGAAGCCAUAAGGAUGAGCAAGCCGACCGGUGAGGGAAUAAGUGAAUGAGAGAAAGAGAGAGAAAGAGAGAGGGGGGCGGAGGAGGAGGGGGAGAACAGUUUCAAUUUGCAUGAUGGCCGUGUGGCUUCGCCAGGAUAACUGUAAUCUCUCUCGACGUCACGAGAGAAGAGUAAAUUUUAUCGCAGCCAUCCCGGAAUCGCAGUCAGACGGAAAGACAGCCGGGGAUCGGAGGUCCUGGAAGGCUUUUGCCAAAGGGGCAAAAGCUCAACCUUUCAUAUCCAUGUUUGCACUGGGCGAAAGCAGCCAGGAGGUACGGAGAGGCCAGAGUCCGCAAGGACGGAAGUAAGUAUACAUUCGGCCUUUACCUCUCUCUCUCUGUAUCAACCUACAGACCUGCCGACCUGUCUGCCUACCAACCUUUUCAAGGCGUAAUUAAAUGGCGGCGUGCUGCUGCGCGACCUUUUCGCGAGUAUGCCCUAGGUUGUCUGCGUGUAAACGUGCAAUGGAAAUCGUGGCACACCGACGGGGGCUGGGAAAAGUGCGUUUAAUUCCAUUUGAAUCGCACUGUGCACCAAGAGAGGGAGAGAGAGAGAGAGAGUGGUGUCGAGCCGUGUGAUUUCCCGUUCACUGGAGAAUCGACAGACAUGUAAGAUCUCGUUCAGCCUCUUUCUUUUCUACAGAGUUGGCUACGGUGACAACUCGGUGUCAAACUCGUUGAGACGGAGCGUCGCUCGAGAUUAAACCGACGAUGCCAUCGUCACACCUGUUUGCUGCGAAAUUCUUCAUUGUUUCACACGGUUCUUGAUACCUAAGCGAGAUACUGUACCCAUCCCUUUGCCACGAUACGAUGGGUUCUGCAUUGAUUCGACGAGUUCCGUUCAAACGAUGACGAUUAUUAUUUCGUUUCGGGAUGAGGCCAGGCAAAGGCGAUGCACUCCCAUUGGAAUAGAAUCAGUUUUUCCCGUUGGACGGUUUCCAGAGCUUUGACGAAAUUCGAUUUUAACUCCGACUCUGGAUCACACUUAUCUAGAAGCAAAAUAUGAAUUUCUUUGAUUCCUCACGGAAGAAUAAAUCGUUCGGUUGGCGCGAAUAAAAAUAGUGACGAAAGAAUCUUUCGUUCUUUCUUUCAACGGUGAUUUCGACGAAACGGAAGACGAAGAAAAGGGGGAGGGGCGAAAGGAAUAAGAGAAAAGAAUUCUCUUUUCAUUUCUCCGCUUGCCCCCUCCUGUCCUCACCUCCGGAAGCAAAAACCGAUACGGACCCCCACGAGGAGAACUCGAAACAUUAAAGAAAGCGCACGGUUGUUAAUGCAAAAAUGCAAAGGUAUACAAUAUGACGGGGUCAUUAUUUGAAAAGUACAGUUGAGCUUCGACCAGGCCGGGGAAGUUGUUUGAGUAAUAAAGAGCGAAAGGUUCGCAGGGGCUGUGAGGACCUCGACAUCGCAGCCGUGCCUUUGAUCAAUUUACCGGCGUUUCCCCCGACUAAACGCGCGCUGAUCUCCCAUGAAUAUGGAGAAUCCGUCAGCAGAGGUUACACCGAGGUACCACCGACUACCGUCAUCUAAUUGUCGUCUUUUAAGCCUUCGAGGUGCGACGUCGCGCUGCCUCGAAAUUCCUCCAAGAACGAAUCAUCCUCGAUAUCAAUCGGUCUCACCCCUUCCCUUCCCCCUAUCGAUCUAAACAUGGAUCAAUUUCCAAUCCGAACCGAACUUCGUCGUUUUAUAUUAAACUUCUUUUCACUUUUUUUACAAUUCAGAAGAGAGAAAGAAGAUCCGAUCUAUCUUUCACGUGGUGGUACGAUGAAAAAUACGAAUUUCUUUCUUUUUUUUUUUUUUUAACGGAAUCAAAGGAUGAGAUAUGCAUAUGUUCCAGUUAAAUAAUGGAUCUUUUUUUACAUACGCUAUUGUAUCCAUUAUUCGCAGCAAAGGACGCCGUUUUGGUCCAGUGACUCGGAUACGAAGAAAUCCUCCCCCUAACGAGACAAUGAAUUCGUUUGAUAAACAGGAACCGAAAAAAAGAACGCAACGUAUCCGUUUCUCUUUCUCUCUCUUUCUCUCUACGUGUUUACGUGUGUUGCGCGCAAAGGGGUGGAGGGAGGAGGAACAAGGGGGGAGGGGGAGCGAAUACGAAAAAACAAUCGCACAGGCGUCAUUCCUUUACCAACCGAUGACUGCGAGCACCAGAGCAUGCACGGUUAAGAGUACCUUCGACUCUCUGAAGCGUUCUCCAAGUGGAUAAAAUAACAGUGGGGCGUGCGUGCGCGGGGGUGGUAGUUCUGGAGGCCGGCAUAGAUCAAAGCUAAGCUGCGGGGGUGACCGACGACCUACCGACGAGAGAAUACCGACUCGCGACUCCAUUUCUCUCUCUCGAUCUCGAUCUCGAUCUCUCUCCCUUCCUCUCCCCCAUUCCUCUACCUUUAUUUCGUCGAGCCUCGUCCUUAUUCGUCCCGUGCAUUCGCUUGCACUCCAACUCGUUCAAGUGGCAUCGGCUCUCGAGAAUCGAGAAAGGAAUAAAGAACGGUCGCGGCCUCAUGCGUAAAACGAUGCCACUGCAAACAAUCCCCCUCCGAUUUGUUUAGGUAUAACAAUCUGUCUCACCCCAUCGGGAAGACCCUCUUCUUCUUCUUCUUCUUCUUCUUCCUCUUCCUCCUACUCCUUCUCCUGAUACUCCUCGUUUCGUCUUCUUUUCAAUUUACAUGCACUUGCAGAGCCCUGCCAAUCGACCGACUGACCAAACGACUUUGAACUUUUAUUUUUCGAGCAUCUCGUUUCUUUCUUUUUUUUUUUUUCUUUUUUUUUGGACGGAAUUUAAUUAUCCGUUCUUCUCUCCUUCCUUUUCCGCUCUUCCAGAUUUCCGCCGAAUCGAAGCGAUCGAGGAGGAUUGAACAGGUUGAGGAGGGACGGAAUGAAAAAUCGGUUGUCGUAGGACAAGGGAAUAUUCUCGUUUUUCCUUCUCUUCGGGUGCGUCUACGAUUAUCACCGCUAUAUAGCGGUAGAUUUCUCGUGACACGUUGAAUCGAGGGAUCCCCCACGACUGAUUAGCUGUUAUCGCAAUAAUAGGUGACGUGACGUGUAUGCGGAAGUCUCCCUCUCGGGAAGAGGGGAGAGGAAGAGGGGGUUGAAGUCCAUUGUCUUUCGAUCGGGCGUCCUUUUCUAAUUCGCCGCCUGCCAAUUCCUCCUGGUACAGAGGCACCCGAGACUCCGUACUCGAUCGGAUCUCUCCAUGAAAAAUCGAAAAAAAGCCUUGGGCAUGUCUCCGUUGCGUCGAUCGAUCAACGGGAUUUUCGCUCGUCGAAAGAAAGAAAGAAAGAAAGAAAGAAAGGGAGGAAGGAGGGAGGAAGGCGAAAAGGAGAGAAAGGAAGAAAGGAGGGAGAAACGGAAACGCGGUUCUCGUACUCGCGUCAAUCUCGCGUCCCGUAGUUUCGUGAUAUAAAACGGAAACUCUUCAAAGGGAACUCGAUUGUCCCUCUUGGCUGACAAUUUAUCUAAUUGCUAUCGUUUUCUAUGCGCAGACGGUUUACUUUUGUUUCCGUGGUCCGUCAGUCUUUCAUCUCUCUUAUGUUCGCGGAGGGUGUUACCAAGUGGAAGAACUCUUGGUGCGGGGUUGAAGUGUCAGGAUCGGUAAAACAAUAAACCGCCGCUAUUACUUUUGCCGGAUAAUCAGCCAAUCACGGAAUCGGCGUCGUUCGUGAUCCUCUUAAGGGCGGCUUUUCGAGAGCGAGCGAAGCUCGUUAUCGCGUCUUAAUCCGGGCAAAUCCUUUCAACUUUCAGCCGUGUCUACGCUUUUCCAACCUAACUAAAGGAUUCUUCUGUAAGCAUGCCAUCUCUCUCUCUCUCUCUCUCUCUCUCUCUCUCUCUCUCUCUCUCUCUCUGUCCUGUUUCCCUUCCCAUCGCUCUCCUUCCUCCCUCGAGAAUUUCAUCCGGUGUCUCUGUUUCCUUGCUCCACCCUGGAUCCCUCCCUCAGACUUCUCUCCACCGUUCUUUAUCUUCCCCGGGCAGCAGCUCGUCGCGCGAUUAUUCCGUUUCCGUUCGCGGCGAGCAACUUGGCCGGGUUGCAUUAACGAGUGUCAUGGAAAUUAGUGGAGUAAGGUAAACGCGGAAAUUAAAGCGUUUGCGCGUCAAAGAAUCAGCGGGAGGAGGAAAAUAGAGGAUAAACGCGUCGAUUUGAUUUAAUCGAAAUAAAAUAAAAAAAUAGGAAAAUAAAAAAAUGGCGACUGAUCACUUCGUUCGCUAAUUUAACAGAAAAAGAAACGAAGGGAUAAUGUUCGAAGAAUGGAGAGAAUAUUUUUUAAUAUACAAUAUCUCGAUCGACGAGAGAGAGAGAAGAGAAGGAUUUUUCUGGAAACGGAGCACAGUUUGCGCGUGUUCUUUUCUUUCGCGGAUGAAAACCAUCGCUCGGCCAACAAGAGGUUAAAAUGGAGGCUGUGAUGCGAACAAACCUUAGGCGUGGAAGAGGGUCCGGAAUAGCAGAGGCAACAGCAGUGCCAGAGGCCGGUUCAGGGGUUGGGUGUGAAGAAGGAACGCUAAGGGAUAGGAACGGAUGGAGAAUGGAUAUGGGGGGAUGAAACACGGGGUUGGCUAGAUAGAUGGGCUGGUGGAUGGUUGGCUGCUUAGCCAGUAGGUUCCUCAUUACCGAGAACGCUCUAUUCACACCUUCUCUAGAACUUUAGGGAUGUAUACGAACCACGCCUGAUUUUUCUUCUCUCGCGUUUCACGUUUUCUUCUUCUUUUUUUCUUUUUCAAUUUUUUUUAUUAUAAUUUGAUGAUUUCAUGUGUAAUAAUACAAAUGUUUUUAUUUUUUUUAAUUUCACGUAAUUGAGCAGUCGGAUUAUAUAUAUAUACA